UGGGGAAUAUUGGUCAAUGGGCGAAAGCCUGAACCAGCAACGCCGCGUGUGCGAUGAAGGCCUUCGGGUUGUAAAGCACUUUUCGAGAGGAUGAGGAAGGACAGUACUCUCGGAAUAAGUCACGGCUAACUACGUGCCAGCAGCCGCGGUAAAACGUAGGUGGCUAACGUUAUCCGGAUUUACUGGGCGUAAAGCGCGCGCAGGCGGCUUCGCAAGUCGGGCAUGAAACCUCCUCGCUUAACGGGGAGAAGCUGUUCGAUACUGCGAGGCUUGAGGUCGGUAGAGGGUGGUGGAAUUCCGCAUGUAGUGGUGAAAUGCGUAGAGAUGCGGAGGAACACCAGUGGCGAAGGCGGCCACCUGGACCGAUCCUGACGCUAAAGCGCGAAAGCUAGGGUAGCAAACGGG
RNAcentral lists this ribosomal RNA (405 nucleotides) under uncultured bacterium. RNAcentral describes it as "bacterial SSU rRNA". It matches the Rfam family "Bacterial small subunit ribosomal RNA", at positions 355 to 776 of the family's 1533-position model. The record is from RNAcentral.